AUUAGAGUUGUCUUAGUCGUUUAGUUCCUUGUAUCUUUUAGACGUCACAAGUGGAAAGAAAUGUAUUUCUCAGAAUUUCAUUGGUGGCCAUCAUUAAGGCACUGUUGAUAGAAUAGUGGUUGCUGAAAAAAGACAUUGUGGAAACUGGCUUGUUCUUCAAUCACCAACAUUGUGGUACAAAGAGAACAAGAAAAUUAGAAGCACAAUCAAAA
This 212-nucleotide unclassified non-coding RNA is filed under the name Hevea brasiliensis (rubber tree). The record is from RNAcentral. Lineage: Eukaryota; Viridiplantae; Streptophyta; Magnoliopsida; Malpighiales; Euphorbiaceae.